RNAcentral lists this ribosomal RNA (421 nucleotides) under uncultured eukaryote. RNAcentral describes it as "SSU rRNA". It matches the Rfam family "Eukaryotic small subunit ribosomal RNA", at positions 592 to 1018 of the family's 1831-position model. The record is from RNAcentral.
CAAUAGCGUAUAUUAAAGUUGUUGCAGUUAAAAGCUCGUAGUCGGAUUUUGGCAUCAUGCCGAACUGUCAACCGAUUGGUUUGUACGGUUUGGCGGGUGCUCUCCUUCCGGAGGCUCGUUCCCUUCUUCAUUGAAGGGUUCGAUGGUUCCGGGUCUUUUACUUUGAAAAAUUAGAGUGUUCAAAGCAGGCCUAUGCUCUGAAUAGGUUAGCAUGGAAUAAUAGAAUAGGACUUUGGUUCUAUUUUGUUGGUUUCUAGGACCGAAGUAAUGAUUAAUAGGGACAGUUGGGGGCAUUCAUAUUCCAAUGUCAGAGGUGAAAUUCUUGGAUUUAUGAAAGACUAACUACUGCGAAAGCAUUUGCCAAGGAUGUUUUCAUUAAUCAAGAACGAAAGUUAGGGGAUCGAAGACGAUCAGAUACCGU